CAAAAAAAAAACUGCUUCUGAAACAUGAAGAGCAUCAGAUGUUCCGUUGUUGUUAGUACCAUUGCAAUAAUUUUCUUAUUGGUCGCUACAGAACAAGUGAACGCAUUCACAAUUAUUGGUGAUUGUUUUGGACCCUGCACUGACGCUUGUGAACAUAUUUGCAAGUCGAAAGGUUAUAAAGAAUCGUUUUGUGGAUCUUUUAGAGACAAGACUGGUUGUUGCUGCAGACCACCAAAGAACCAAAUAUUUGGGCAAUCCGUUAAUUUCAACAACUAAAUGUCUUUCAGAGUAUUUUUUACUUUGUAUGAUCAUAAAAACAUUAAAUAAGGGUUUUAAGAAUUAAUAGAAUAAUUUUUACCUUUAUAAUAUAUCAUGGUGAAAGCUAAACGUGGUAAGAAUGAAUAAAUAUUUGCAGUGAUCUUUUAACACCACACA
This is a long non-coding RNA of Brassica napus (rape), 435 nucleotides long. RefSeq lists it as uncharacterized. The transcript has 2 exons. The record is from RefSeq and is a predicted model, not a curated record. NCBI's taxonomy places the organism in Eukaryota, Viridiplantae, Streptophyta, Magnoliopsida, Brassicales, Brassicaceae.